This 1526-nucleotide long non-coding RNA is filed under the name Homo sapiens (human). RNAcentral describes it as "non-protein coding lnc-COL9A2-1:3". Lineage: Eukaryota; Metazoa; Chordata; Mammalia; Primates; Hominidae. The record is from RNAcentral.
CUUGACGCUGGGUUCCGGCCUAGGGUUCUGGCUUUCCUCCUGGGCUAGUGAACGCGGCGAAGUCCUCCUCUUUCUAAUCUCCAGAGCCGCAGUUCCAUCCUCUGGGUCAGCGGCUUACCCUGACUGGGCUGCGGUAUCUGCCUUCCUUCCCCCAACAAGGCGACAGGUAGUCGGGGCUGGGGCCGGAACUGACUGAGUGGGCCGCAACUGACUGAGUGGGCCGCGGCUCCCGCCUGAGGAGGCUAGGAAGGACUGAACAGCAGCCGACUUCCCAGGCUCUAAAAAUCGUGCCUCUGAGUUAGAGCUACCUCAAAAGCAAGACCAAGCAUGAGAAAUGGAGUCUUUUGGCCAGUAUUGGGGUGUUCGGAAUUCAAGCGUAUGAGAGAGUGGACGGUAGCGUUGAGAAUUUUCAUUUGAAGAUCUCGUCUUAACCACCCCAAGUGUAGUCAGAGGCGGCGUUUUCCCUGCGAGAGUGCCCUGGAACAAAGCAAGGAUAGCGUGGGUUAGACAUACCUGAAAUGAAAGCGUCUUACUUUAUCUAGGUACAUAUUUGCGUCAGUAAGGCGCAACGCCAUUUCUCUCUUGGAAUUCAGAAGUGAAAUAUGGUGACUGGGACGCCUGUACAUUGCUUUGACUUAAAAAUUGAAGUCCAUUAUUCUGACCGAAAGUUAAUCUGAUGAUUAAUUGGUUAAACAUACUAUCGUUGCUAAUUAGCAUAAUUAUUAUUUACAAUAAAGUGAGCUAAAUAGCUACAACUAAAAUAUAUUUAAAUUACUGUGAUAUUGUGAUGCUAAAGAUGUGUUGAAAUUAAUAUCUUGAAUUUCUCAACCCUGCCUAAAUGCCUCUGAGAGUAAUUAGUAUAAUUAAAAGUCACUAGAGAAAGUGAAUGACUCUAAUAACAGGAUAACAAAUUCUUUUCAAGUCAGAUGGUUUCCAGUUCUUUGCUUUCAACAAAAUUAAUGGUGGCCCAUGAAUUGUCAGCUGAUGAAGGAACACUAUUUGGUUUUUGGCAUGCAACUCGGAAAGAAACCAAACGAUUGAUUGACAUGCUUACAACAAAACUACUAGCAUUCUCACCUAUUUAUGUAAAACCAUUUCUCAGCACUUGUAUCUGUGAAAACAACAGAAUUGAAAAUGAACCCUGUUAAUCUACCAGUAGGAACUAUUCAUCCAGAUAAAUGAAUUAAUUGGUGGGUCAGCCCCAUCUAUCUCACUAAGAGAUGUGUUCCCAAUAGAAUUUCACCUUUUAUAACUGUGUGUUAUCAAUAUUUGCAAUCGUGUCAUUUUGAUCCAUUAUAUACUAAAGAUGAUUGUGAUGAUUACUCACUUCAGAAGAAUUCCAGCGUAGAGCCAUAAAGUUACACGAAAUUUUUUAAGGUUUACUACAUAUGUCAUAUUUUUAUUGCGAAGAAGUGAUCAAGAAAAGGUUGUUCAAACAUCAAAGUACUAUAUUUGAAUAACAUUUUUUGUUAGAGUACAAUCUAAAUAUGUUAGAGAUAAUAAAAGAACAAUGUUGAAGAGCUCAU